RNAcentral lists this ribosomal RNA (480 nucleotides) under Batrachoseps attenuatus (California slender salamander). Its description in RNAcentral is "partial 16S ribosomal RNA". It matches the Rfam family "Bacterial large subunit ribosomal RNA", at positions 1854 to 2571 of the family's 2925-position model. The record is from RNAcentral. Lineage: Eukaryota; Metazoa; Chordata; Amphibia; Caudata; Plethodontidae.
ACUGCCUGCCCAGUGACACCUGUUCAACGGCCGCGGUAUUAUGACCGUGCAAAGGUAGCGUAAUCACUUGUCUUUUAAAUAAAGACCUGUAUGAAUGGCAAAACGAGAACUCAACUGUCUCCUCAGACUAGUCAGUGAAAUUGAUAUUCCCGUGAAGAAGCAGGGAUAAAAAUAUAAGACGAGAAGACCCUAUGGAGCUUUAAACCAAAAUUAACCAUGAUUAAUAACUUUUAAAAAUGGACUUAGUCAUUAGGCUUUAGGUUGGGGCGACCACGGGGUAAAAAACAACCCCCGAGAUAAAAAUUAAGAAGGACACUUCAAGAAAUAGUAAUAUUAAUAUAAUUGACCCAUUAAAUGAUCAACGAACCAAGUUACCCUAGGGAUAACAGCGCAAUCCUUUCACAGAGUUCCUAUCGACGAACGGGUUUACGACCUCGAUGUUGGAUCAGGACCCCCAAAUGGUGCAAAAGCUAUUAAAGG